CGGGGAUUAGCCCAGCGUCAAAGCCUAUGGUCGUUUGACUGUAAGGCGAUGUGAUGUUGUGGGCUGUGCCUAGGGUCGUUGGUCAACUCGAAGUCCAAUAUUGAAUGUGGCUUUUGUAUUUAGCCCAGAGCGGGUGACAGGCCCGUGCGAGUUGAUUGUUAGUCUUGUUGAACGGCCUCUAGAUGCACAGUCCAUGGAGUCGGAUUGCUUGAGAAUGCAGUCCAAAGUUGGUGGUAAACUCCAUCAAAGGCUAAAUACUGGCACGAGUCCGAUAGCAAACAAGUACCGUGAGGGAAAGUUGAAAAGUACUCUGAAGAGAGAGUAAAUAGUACGUGAAACCACACGAAGGUAAACUGGUGGAGUCCAGCUGCGUGUGCUGGGGACUUAGCCAGUAGGCGAAUAAGGGGUGUUGUGAAUUGCCGUGUUGUCGUUUGCCUGUGAAGGCAAGCCGGGCUGAGCCCGGCGCAUGUGCCGUCGUGUAGGCGGAAUGUGCGAUGCAUGUGCGUGUGUUCGCCUAUUGGUGUCCUUCCUCAGGACAAACAUCACAGUCAAUAUUGCUGCUAGUAUGUGGCUCGUCAAACCGCCAAGUGGUGGGCCUUCGUGUUCGUCCUUGUCGGGAUGGCAGGUGGUGUGCGGUGUGGCCUUGUGCUGUACCUGUACGCUUAAAGAUGGCUUCGGCCAGCCGACGGUCACGUUGUUGCUUUUAACUAUGCAGUGUAUUGGUCAUUGUUUGUGAGUGUGGGACGCGAUGCUGUGUAUGCGCGGUGUCCAGGUGGGCGCGUGUUUGGUUAUGUGUAAAAGCGUGCCGGAUGCGUGUUCCGUCUGCGUG
RNAcentral lists this ribosomal RNA (829 nucleotides) under Cathariotrema selachii. RNAcentral's name for it is "partial large subunit ribosomal RNA". It matches the Rfam family "Eukaryotic large subunit ribosomal RNA", at positions 98 to 609 of the family's 3401-position model. Lineage: Eukaryota; Metazoa; Platyhelminthes; Monogenea; Monocotylidea; Monocotylidae. The record is from RNAcentral.